GACGAACGCUGGCGGCGUGCUUAACACAUGCAAGUCGAACGGAAAGGCCCUUCGGGGUACUCGAGUGGCGAACGGGUGAGUAACACGUGGGUGAUCUGCCCUGCACUUUGGGAUAAGCCUGGGAAACUGGGUCUAAUACCGAAUAGGACCACGCGCUUCAUGGUGUGUGGUGGAAAGCUUUUGCGGUGUGGGAUGGGCCCGCGGCCUAUCAGCUUGUUGGUGGGGUAAUGGCCUACCAAGGCGACGACGGGUAGCCGGCCUGAGAGGGUGACCGGCCACAGAGAUAGUGAGCUACGGCCCGGACUCGGACGGGAGGGAGGGGGGGGGAAUAUUGCAGGAGGGCCACACGCCGGAUGACGGGACGCGGGUUGAGGGAUGCCGGACGUCGUGUUACAGACUUCUGUCAAAAUGGACGAGCAGAAAGGGACGCUACCUAAAGAAGAAGCCCCUGCAAAGGAGGUGCCACGAGCCGCGGUCAAAACCGCAAAGCAAACGUCCAAAC
This 502-nucleotide ribosomal RNA is filed under the name uncultured bacterium. Its description in RNAcentral is "partial 16S ribosomal RNA". It matches the Rfam family "Bacterial small subunit ribosomal RNA", at positions 33 to 541 of the family's 1533-position model. The record is from RNAcentral.